GUGCUCGCUUCGGCAGCACAUGCACUAAAAAACUGGAGCAAUACAGAGAGGAUUACAUGAACCCUGCGCAAGAAUGACACGCAAAUUCGCGAAGCGCUCCAUACUUGA
Molecule: small nuclear RNA, 108 nt
Organism: Meriones unguiculatus (Mongolian gerbil)
Lineage: Eukaryota; Metazoa; Chordata; Mammalia; Rodentia; Muridae
Source: Ensembl